UAAUAUAUAUAUGGUUUUAAUUAUUCAUUCAUAUUAUGUUGUUGUGUUUAGAAUGUUUUAAGAAAUAUCAAAUAAUAAUAUGAAUGAGGAAUACCAAAAAGAAGAAAAUGGUACAAUAAUGGUCAAUACAUAAAAUCGAAAGUCCCAUGUCCAAAUUGCGAUAAUAAAUACAUUGAGGCAUAUCGUACUAAAUGCAAUAAAUGGCAUUGUGCACUGCAGGGACUGGAACCGUACUGAAAUUGACCGGUUUUGGACCGAAACCUUUUGAAAAUCUUGGAAUCGAAACCGAAACCAGAUUCUAAAAUAAUAUACCAACGUUUUAAACUUUAGCCGACCCAUUUAAAAUUAUUAACCGUUUCGUUAAGAACCGCUGCUUUAGAGCCUUUUUUUAAAUAUAACUGUAAACAAAUAUCACAUUUAAAAGAUAAAACUGAUAAUAACUUACUACAAUUACCACUUCUGAUAUCAUUUUAACUGCCUAAAACGUAUAACUUCUUAAUAUAAACACAAAAUAAAUUAAAACUUUUAAUAUUGACAAUAAUAUAUUGUUAAUAAUUAUUGUUUUUGUAAAAUACACAAUUUAUAAAAAGACCUGGGAUUCUAAUGCCCCAAAAAACCCAACAUAGAACAUAAUAUUAAUAUUAUAGUAUAGAUACCUACCAAUAGCACAAAUUUUCUAAUAAUCACGAAUCAUGAUAGUAAUAAUAAUAAUAAUAAUAAAAAAGACACACAUAUAAUAAAUGAUGAUAACACACGUAUUAAUUGUGAUCAUAGUCAAAUUAUUGUCAUUUGUCGUUAUUCGUUCCUAUAUAGAUUAUCGAAAAUGAUAACCUACCUGCCUACCUGUCAUUAUCGUACAAAUAGACGCGUCUAAAUAAUCACCCAUUCUGGUAAAAAUCCCGUAUUUAAUCCAGGUGCGCUAUUUAGUUAUAUCUGUAAUAUCUUACUCAUAUAAGUUGUAUGCUUUAAUAACUUGUAUUAAGGAGCAGUGGCGUGAUGACUGAUGAAGGACUUUAUUCGAGGCACGUGCCUCAGUUUAAAGGGUGGUUGGUGUCCUGGAGACUAGAGGCAUUUCAGACAUUUCACAUAUUAUAAUAAUUUAUUAAGUGUGUACUAAGACUAAGCCAAUCUUUCUCAGUUACCAUUUACGUAAAUAC
This is a long non-coding RNA of Acyrthosiphon pisum (pea aphid), 1157 nucleotides long. RefSeq lists it as uncharacterized. The record is from RefSeq and is a predicted model, not a curated record. The transcript has 2 exons. NCBI's taxonomy places the organism in Eukaryota, Metazoa, Arthropoda, Insecta, Hemiptera, Aphididae.